GAUGAAGAACGCAGCGAAAUGCGAUAAGUAGUGUGAAUUGCAGAAUUCAGUGAAUCAUCGAAUCUUUGAACCCACAUUGCGCCCUUUGGUAUUCCUUAGGGCAUGCCUGUUCGAGCGUCAUUUGAAACCUCAAGCUCAGCUUGGUGUUGGGUGUCUGUCCCCGCCUCCGCGGGGACUCGCCUCAAAAUCAUUGGCGGCCGGUACGUUGGCUUCGAGCGCAGCAGAAACGCGAACUCGAGGCCCGGCGGAUCGGCGACCAGAAGUCUCUUCUUCACAGUUUGACCUCGGAUCAGGUAGGGAUACCCGCUGAACUUAAGCAUAUCAAUAAGCGGAGGA
RNAcentral lists this unclassified non-coding RNA (336 nucleotides) under soil metagenome. Its description in RNAcentral is "partial contains 5.8S ribosomal RNA, internal transcribed spacer 2, and large subunit ribosomal RNA". The stretch from base 1 to 120 matches the Rfam family "5.8S ribosomal RNA", at positions 35 to 154 of the family's 154-position model. The record is from RNAcentral.